CGGUUACAUAAUAUGUAUAGUGGAUGUACAUUUAAUAACAAAUCACAUUUAUCAAUAAUAUGAUAAUAAUUGGAAGGGUAAGGGAAGAGUCACAUAAGUUGUCUCAUGAAAAAAAUACAGCCAGAACCGCCACUUUUGAGUUUUGUUUACAUUCGAUAUUUAGUUUGUUUGCAGCAGUCCGCGUAAACGUUGUAUACUUGUAUUUUUAUUCAUAUUUGUUUGAAUCGCGUUUUUUUCUAAAUACAUAUAAUAUAAAAAAAUGCCGAAAAAUUCUUUUGGUAGUUUUGUUAAAGAAUUUAGCGAACGUGUAGUUCAGUUCCAAAGGUAAAGUGCUAUUUUGUGUCCGCAUUUAAACGGUUUUUGGUCACACAACACUUGAAAACUGCAAAGCAAAGUGCAACCGUUAUUAACAGGAAAAUAAAAAAAAAGAAUGAUUUUAACUGUGAUCUCUCACUCGAGCUUUACUUUCGGCUAACAUUGCACUCAACAAGCUGUACGAGUCUUCUGGCUUGAAGAAAUAAACAAGACGGAACUUUAAAAUACCACCCAAAGUAAUAAUGACUGCGCAAGAAUCGAAUAGGACGGAC
Molecule: long non-coding RNA, 587 nt
Organism: Adelges cooleyi (spruce gall adelgid)
Lineage: Eukaryota; Metazoa; Arthropoda; Insecta; Hemiptera; Adelgidae
Exons: 3
Source: RefSeq, a predicted model, not a curated record